This 301-nucleotide ribosomal RNA is filed under the name uncultured bacterium. Its description in RNAcentral is "partial 16S ribosomal RNA". It matches the Rfam family "Bacterial small subunit ribosomal RNA", at positions 509 to 809 of the family's 1533-position model. The record is from RNAcentral.
CAGCCGCCGCGGGAAUACGUAGGGUGCGAGCGUUGUCCGGAAUUACUGGGCGUAAAGAGCUCGUAGGCGGUUUGUCGCGUCGUCUGUGAAAUUCUGCAGCUUAACUGUAGGCGUGCAGGCGAUACGGGCAGACUUGAGUACUACAGGGGAGACUGGAAUUCCUGGUGUAGCGGUGAAAUGCGCAGAUAUCAGGAGGAACACCGGUGGCGAAGGCGGGUCUCUGGGUAGUAACUGACGCUGAGGAGCGAAAGCGUGGGUAGCGAACAGGAUUAGAUACCCCGGUAGUCCCUGUCUCUUAUAA